CGGGACGUAGCACAGCUUGGUAGUGCGCUUGCUUCGGGAGCAAGAGGUCGCAGGUUCAAAUCCUGUCGUCCCGACCA
This 77-nucleotide transfer RNA is filed under the name Firmicutes bacterium HGW-Firmicutes-10. Its description in RNAcentral is "tRNA-Pro". It matches the Rfam family "tRNA". Rfam says of the family: Transfer RNA (tRNA) molecules are approximately 80 nucleotides in length. Their secondary structure includes four short double-helical elements and three loops (D, anti-codon, and T loops). RNAcentral also lists the same sequence under 2 other names. The record is from RNAcentral. Lineage: Bacteria; Bacillati; Bacillota.